GAGUUUGAUCAUGGCUCAGAUUGAACGCUGGCGGCAUGCCUUACACAUGCAAGUCGAACGGCAGCACGGGAGCUUGCUCCUGGUGGCGAGUGGCGAACGGGUGAGUAAUGCAUCGGAACGUAUCCUGGAGUGGGGGAUAACGUAGCGAAAGUUACGCUAAUACCGCAUAUUCUGUGAGCAGGAAAGCGGGGGACCUUCGGGCCUCGCGCUCUUGGAGCGGCCGAUGUCGGAUUAGCUAGUUGGUGGGGUAAUGGCUCACCAAGGCGACGAUCCGUAACUGGUCUGAGAGGAUGAUCAGUCACACUGGAACUGAGACACGGUCCAGACUCCUACGGGAGGCAGCAGUGGGGAAUAUUGGACAAUGGGCGAAAGCCUGAUCCAGCCAUGCCGCGUGUGUGAAGAAGGUCUUCGGAUUGUAAAGCACUUUAAGUUGGGAGGAGGGCAGUAAGUUAAUACCUUGCUUGUUUGACGUUACCGACAGAAUAAGCACCGGCUAACUCUGU
This 503-nucleotide ribosomal RNA is filed under the name bacterium enrichment culture clone ALO1_GLFRUDD03F48EX. Its description in RNAcentral is "bacterial SSU rRNA". It matches the Rfam family "Bacterial small subunit ribosomal RNA", at positions 9 to 506 of the family's 1533-position model. The record is from RNAcentral.